CCCUUAGAUGUUCUGGGCCGCACGCGCGCUACACUGUUCGACGCAGCGAGUCUUAACCUUGACCGAAAGGUUUGGGUAAUCUUCAGCAAAGUCGAACGCGAUGGGGAUCGAUCAUUGCAAUUAUUGAUCGUGAACGAGGAAUUCCUAGUAAGUGCAAGUCAUCAGCUUGCGCUGAUUACGUCCCUGCCCUUUGUACACACCGCCCGUCGCUACUACCGAUUGAAUGGUUUAGUGAGAUCUCUGGAUUGACGCUGGCUAGGGGGCGACCCUUGGCCAGACUGCUCGAGAAACUGCUCAAACUUGAUCAUUUAGAGGAAGUAAAAGUCGUAACA
This 332-nucleotide ribosomal RNA is filed under the name uncultured eukaryote. RNAcentral describes it as "partial 18S ribosomal RNA". It matches the Rfam family "Eukaryotic small subunit ribosomal RNA", at positions 1470 to 1796 of the family's 1831-position model. The record is from RNAcentral.